This 404-nucleotide ribosomal RNA is filed under the name uncultured bacterium. Its description in RNAcentral is "bacterial SSU rRNA". It matches the Rfam family "Bacterial small subunit ribosomal RNA", at positions 355 to 776 of the family's 1533-position model. The record is from RNAcentral.
UGGGGAAUAUUGGGCAAUGGAGGAAACCCUGAUCCAGCCAUGCCGCGUGAGUGAUGAAGGCCUUCGGGUUGUAAAACUCUUUCGACGGGGACGAUAAUGACGGUACCCGUAGAAGAAGCUCCGGCUAACUUCGUGCCAGCAGCCGCGGUAAUACGAAGGGGGCUAGCGUUGUUCGGAAUUACUGGGCGUAAAGCGCGCGCAGGCGGUCUUCCAAGUCAGUGGUGAAAGCCCGGAGCUCAACUCCGGAACUGCCAUUGAAACUGUGAGACUUGAGUACGAGAGAGGUGAGUGGAAUUCCCAGUGUAGAGGUGAAAUUCGUAGAUAUUGGGAAGAACACCGGUGGCGAAGGCGGCUCACUGGCUCGUAACUGACGCUCAGGCGCGACAGCGUGGGGAUCAAACAGG